UCGGCUGUCACUGCAGUUGCUGCUUCAUGCACAAGCAUUAUGUAAUCAUAACCUGCUGUGCGUAAAACAGCGACCUUUGUGGGAGGUAGAAAUCAUAGU
This 99-nucleotide microRNA precursor is filed under the name Capitella teleta. RNAcentral describes it as "microRNA mir-210". Lineage: Eukaryota; Metazoa; Annelida; Polychaeta; Capitellidae. The record is from RNAcentral.